This 877-nucleotide long non-coding RNA is filed under the name Homo sapiens (human). RNAcentral's name for it is "non-protein coding lnc-TIMM22-1:1". The record is from RNAcentral. Lineage: Eukaryota; Metazoa; Chordata; Mammalia; Primates; Hominidae.
ACAUAAUCCACCUCACAUAAUCCACCCACACUCACAUAAUCCACCUCACAUAAUCCACCCUCACAUAAUCCACCCUCACAUAAUCCACCUCACAUAAUCCACCCUCACAUAAUCCACCCUCACAUAAUCCACCCUCACAUAAUCCACCUCACAUAAUCCACCCUCACAUAAUCCACCCUCACAUAAUCCACUCUCACAUAAUCCGCCUCACAUAAUCCACCCUCAAAUAAUCCACCCUCGCAUAAUCCACACUCACAUAAUCCACCUCACAUAAUCCACCUCGCAUAAUCCACCUCGCAUAAUCCACCCACCCUCACAUAAUCCACCUCGCAUAAUCCACCCUCACAUAAUCCACCCUCACAUAAUCCACACUCACAUAAUCCACCUCACAUAAUCCACCUCACAUAAUCCACCUCACAUAAUCCACCCCUCACAUAAUCCACCUCACAUAAUCCACCUCACAUAAUCCACCCCUCACAUAACCCACCCUCACAUAAUCCACCUCACAUAAUCCGCCCUCACAUAAUCCACCCUCACAUAAUCCACCCUCACGUAAUCCACCUCACAUAAUCCACCUCGCAUAAUCCACCCACCCUCACAUAAUCCACACUCACAUAAUCCACCUCACAUAAUCCACCUCACAUAAUCCACCCUCACAUAAUCCACCUCACAUAAUCCACCCUCACAUAAUCCACCUCACAUAAUCCACCCUCACAUAAUUCACCCUCACAUAAUCCACCUCACAUAAUCCACCCUCACAUAAUCCACCCUCACAUAAUCCACCCUCACAUAAUCCACCCUCACAUAAUCCACCCACAUUCACAUAAUCCACCUCACAUAAUCCACCUCACAUAAUCCACCCUCACAUAAUCCACCC